Molecule: transfer RNA, 70 nt
Filed under: Camelus bactrianus (Bactrian camel)
Lineage: Eukaryota; Metazoa; Chordata; Mammalia; Artiodactyla; Camelidae
Also listed under: 2 other names
Rfam family: tRNA
About the family: Transfer RNA (tRNA) molecules are approximately 80 nucleotides in length.
Source: Rfam by way of RNAcentral
GGGUGGAGCUCAGUGGUAGAGCACAUGUUUAGUAAGCACGAGGUCCUGGGUUCAGCCCCCAGUCCCUCCA